UGUUCUUCGGAAUGAGAGACCGGCGCACGGGUGCGUAACGCGUAUGCAAUCUACCUUUCACAGAGGGAUAGCCCAGAGAAAUUUGGAUUAAUACCUCAUAGCAUUAUGAAAUGGCAUCAUUUUAUAAUUAAAGUCACAACGGUGAAAGAUGAGCAUGCGUCCCAUUAGCUAGUUGGUAAGGUAACGGCUUACCAAGGCUACGAUGGGUAGGGGUCCUGAGAGGGAGAUCCCCCACACUGGUACUGAGACACGGACCAGACUCCUACGGGAGGCAGCAGUGAGGAAUAUUGGUCAAUGGGCGCAAGCCUGAACCAGCCAUGCCGCGUGCAGGAUGACGGUCCUAUGGAUUGUAAACUGCUUUUGUACGGGAAGAAACACUCCGACGUGUCGGAGCUUGACGGUACCGUAAGAAUAAGGAUCGGCUAACUCCGUGCCAGCAGCCGCGGUAAUACGGAGGAUCCAAGCGUUAUCCGGAAUCAUUGGGUUUAAAGGGUCCGUAGGCGGUUUGGUAAGUCAGUGGUGAAAGCCCAUCGCUCAACGGUGGAACGGCCAUUGAUACUGCUAGACUUGAAUUAUUGGGAAGUAACUAGAAUAUGUAGUGUAGCGGUGAAAUGCUUAGAGAUUACAUGGAAUACCAAUUGCGAAGGCAGGUUACUACCAAUGGAUUGACGCUGAUGGACGAAAGCGUGGGUAGCGAACAGGAUUAGAUACCCUGGUAGUCCACGCCGUAAACGAUGGAUACUAGCUGUUGGGAGCAAUCUCAGUGGCUAAGCG
RNAcentral lists this ribosomal RNA (774 nucleotides) under uncultured bacterium. Its description in RNAcentral is "bacterial SSU rRNA". It matches the Rfam family "Bacterial small subunit ribosomal RNA", at positions 74 to 853 of the family's 1533-position model. The record is from RNAcentral.